GCUGGGAUAGCUUAGUUGGUAGAGCAUGAGACUCCUACUCUCAGGGUUGUGGGUUUGAGCCCCACAUUGGGCA
Podarcis lilfordi (Lilford's wall lizard) is the source of this 73-nucleotide non-coding RNA. Lineage: Eukaryota; Metazoa; Chordata; Lepidosauria; Squamata; Lacertidae. The record is from the annotation of a GenBank genome assembly.